This 64-nucleotide small RNA is filed under the name Arabidopsis thaliana (thale cress). RNAcentral describes it as "ATSL100970". The record is from RNAcentral. Lineage: Eukaryota; Viridiplantae; Streptophyta; Magnoliopsida; Brassicales; Brassicaceae.
AUUCACAUUCUUAAAUAUCUUCUCGUCCCUUACUUUUCAAAUAUACCAAAUUAUCAAUUGAUAU